ACCCGGCUGGCUCAGUCAGUCGAGCGCGAGACUCUUAAUCUCGGAGUGGGUGGUUCGACCCCACGUUGGACG
Molecule: non-coding RNA, 72 nt
Organism: Nephila pilipes (giant wood spider)
Lineage: Eukaryota; Metazoa; Arthropoda; Arachnida; Araneae; Nephilidae
Source: the annotation of a GenBank genome assembly